RNAcentral lists this long non-coding RNA (1867 nucleotides) under Homo sapiens (human). RNAcentral's name for it is "HSALNT0056538". The record is from RNAcentral. Lineage: Eukaryota; Metazoa; Chordata; Mammalia; Primates; Hominidae.
GUGAGCCCUUAAAAGGGACAGAAAUUUUGCACUCGGGGAGCUCAGAUUUUAAGACAGUAGCUUGCUGAUGCUCCCAGCUGAAUAAAGCCCUUCCUUCUACAACUCGGUGUCUGAGGGGUUUUGUCUGCAGCUCGUCCUGCUACAAUGGUGGUUCCUUUAUAGAGUCCAUCUGCUCACUACAUGUGAUUCAAGCCUAGCUCGAAAGAUAGGCAAGUGAUGACUUAGGACACUGUCAAUGGCAUGAGACUUCUUUCCAAGCUAUCAGAAGACCGCCUUCUUUUCCCACUGCUACUGCCAGGAUAUUCAUGAUUCCCUACCUUGAAUCAAUGCCGCCAUCUUCCUUUUAACUCAGGGACUAUGAGAUACACAGGUCUUCAAUGCCAGUCACCUCAUGGACUCACCACCUAGUUUAUCAAGGAGAAGUUGAUGCUGGGAGCAACUACAAAAAUGAAGCUACUCUGAUUUAGCCAAAAAGAUUCUCCAUUCUAAGGACUCCUGUGAUUUGAUUGGGAGCCUCUACAUCAUUCAGGAGAAUCCUCUGACCUCAAGUUCUGUAACCUGAAUCACAUCAUAAGACUUCAGCUGGCAGAGCAACACAAGCAGCUGAAUAUCAAGAGGUGAAGAAGCAACUGGGCAUCUGAGACUAUGGAUAGAUGCGACUUAACUUCAGACGGCACAACUUUGGAGAGGAGCCCAGAUGGAGACGACCAGGCUUCAAGGAAAGAUCACCUUCUUCUUGCACCCCCCUUUCAGCUCCCCUUCUGCUGAGAGCUACUUCCACUGCCUAAUAAAAUCCUCUGCAUCAUCACCUUUCAAACCAUUCGUGCGACCUGAUUCUUCCUGGAUGCCGAACAAGAACCUGGGAACCAAGAGGGCAGAGUAUUAGGCUGUCACCCUGACUCUCCACUAAGCUGGUUAACACUUAGCUGCCAUGGACAGCAACUCCUAAAAGAGCAUUAAUUUUAUCACACCCCUAGACGCUGCCAGGGGGCUGGAGCCCAAAAGCAUUUGCCCCAGCUCCAACACCCACUUGCCUGUGUGCUCCCUCCCGUGAGGGGUUGAGCCCAGUGGGUUUGAGUGAGUGAAGUUCAUCCCUGUUGGCAGCAAAGUGGCAGGCUGAACCCAGAGCCAGUGCACUCUAGUUCCCAUCUGCAAAAGGGUCAAAGGAACUCUCCUGUCUCAACAACAUAUUACUGACUAACACAAGCAUCUUAUGCCUGGUAGCAUCAAAUUAAGCAAAGGGUAGCCCGAAUGCCAUGUCUUCACAUUUUAUUCCACUUGGAUCUCCUGUAGAAUGGCUGUUUACCAUGGAAGGGCUGAUUCCAAUUCUCACGUUAAUCACUUACAAGGCAGAAACCAGCUAGUCUAGACUGGUAAAGGGCUUUCCAGUUCAUUCAUCAGCCUCCUCUGAUUCUCUCAGGGCUCAUUCAGAUGUUCCCAAUCCUUUCACAAGAUUACAAUUCAACACAUAUGGAAGCACAAAAAAAAAUGCUGAUUUCCCCACAUAAAUAAUAAUUAAUUACUAAUGAAGAUAAUGGUGACAGACUAUGGGACUUAAGAAAAAACCUACGAGGAUGUAUCACAAGACAAAUCCUUCUAAAAAUUAAACUAUUUGCAGACAAUCAGAAAGUCAAAACUAACAAUCUCUUAAACAUUUCUCAGAUAUGGCUGUAAUAACAUAGCAUUCCUAUAAAAAUGAACUUUUAGGUUAAAUAUAUCUUUACACAUACAUGCACUUGCACCCACAUGUACACACAAUCUAUUUUUGGAUCUACUGAAUAAAGCAUCAUUAUUUAAAGUGAAGCAAUAAAAGUUUCAACGUCUUUUUUUCUAAGUAUUAGCCUUGAAGUUAUUCACCCUAACCAAA